AUUUUCCUCCCUUUUCAGCAGCCACUCAUUAAAAAGUAAUCACCUCGUACCAGGAGGAUAUGAACAGCCCAAGGUCAGAUCCAUAACUGCGUUCUUUCUGCAGCGCGUACCUGGAGCGCGCGGCCAACACGGUGACCGCCGGGAGCUGAGCGCUGCCCCACUGCUGUGCUCGGGCAGCACUUGGGUCACCCUAUGGGGACACCGCUCUCCAUCAACUCCAAGAACCCACAGCACUGAAGGUGUUCACCAGUUAUUUUCACUUUGCGGAUUUAUGAUUUUCAUCUUGCUGCUACGUCACAGCGUGAAGCUGCCAAGUGCAAGAUAAAACCGUAAGACACAGGCAAACAGCAUUGCCACACACAGACCCAGCAGGACAAGGAGCAGAGCUGGGUGCAACCCCACCGCUGGGAACGUCCCCUCGCCACCGCAGACAAUGCCAGCCCACAGCUGAUGCCGUCGCUUUGGGAACGCGGAGGGAGAUUAAUGACAGCGAGCAGCUGAGAGCCACCGAGCAGGGGAUGGGGAGCGGGCUGCGAUGUCCCUGCUGCCACGAGCCCCGUCCCCGCUCCGCGCCGCCGCACCUCUCCUCUAUUUACACAGCAAAUUCUUU
Molecule: long non-coding RNA, 610 nt
Filed under: Numida meleagris (helmeted guineafowl)
Lineage: Eukaryota; Metazoa; Chordata; Aves; Galliformes; Numididae
Description: lncRNA (ENSNMEG00000005233.1)
Source: RNAcentral